UACGUAGGGGGCAAGCGUUGUCCGGAUUUAUUGGGCGUAAAGAGCGUGUAGGCGGUUUGGUAGGUCCGUUGUGAAAACUCGAGGCUCAACCUCGAGACGCCGAUGGAAACCAUCAGACUAGAGUCCGGAAGAGGAGAGUGGAAUUCCUGGUGUAGCGGUGAAAUGCGCAGAUAUCAGGAAGAACACCCGUGGCUAAGGCGGCUCUCUAGUACGGUACUGACGCUGAUACGCGAAAGCGUGGGGAGCAAACAGG
Molecule: ribosomal RNA, 253 nt
Filed under: uncultured bacterium
Lineage: Bacteria
Description: partial 16S ribosomal RNA
Rfam family: Bacterial small subunit ribosomal RNA
Source: RNAcentral